AACCGAGCGAAGGUAGCAUAGUCAUUAGUCUUUUAAUUGGAGGCUUGUAUGAAGGGUUGAACAAGAGGCAAACUGUCUCGGAGACAAGGUUUGAAAUUAACUUUUAAGUGAAAAGGCUUGAAUAUUUUAGAGGGACGAUAAGACCCUAUAAAGCUUGAUAAUUUUAUAUAUAAAUAAAUAAGUUGUUAGUGUUAUAUCAUCUAUUUAUAAAAUUAUUUCGUUGGGGCGACGAUAAUAUAAUUUGUAACUGUUUAAGAUUUAGAUUCAAAUAUAUUUGUGUUUUAAUGAUCCAUUAAUUGUUGAUUAAAAAUUUAAGUUACUUUAGGGAUAACAGCGUUAUUUAUUUUGAGAGUUCAUAUCGAUAAAAAAGUUUGCGACCUCGAUGUUGAAUUAAAAUUUCUCUAUGGUGCAGUAGUUAUAGGGAGAGGGUCUGUGCGACCUUUAAAAUUUUA
This 452-nucleotide ribosomal RNA is filed under the name Metanephrops thomsoni. RNAcentral describes it as "partial small subunit ribosomal RNA". It matches the Rfam family "Bacterial large subunit ribosomal RNA", at positions 1944 to 2598 of the family's 2925-position model. The record is from RNAcentral. Lineage: Eukaryota; Metazoa; Arthropoda; Malacostraca; Decapoda; Nephropidae.